AACGCACAUUGCGCCCCUUGGUAUUCCGAGGGGCAUGCCUGUUCGAGCGUCAUUUCAAACCUCAAGCGCAAGCUUGGUAUUGGGCGCCGUCCGUCAAGGACGCGCCAGAAACCUGUAGGCAGCGGUGCCCGUCUCCCAGCGUAGUCAGUAAUUUCUACCCGCCCGGAGUCACGCGUGCGUCGCCCGCCGGACAACACAUUUCAUUUUCUAUGGUUUGACCUCGGAUCAGGUAGGGAUACCCGCUGAACUUAA
RNAcentral lists this unclassified non-coding RNA (252 nucleotides) under uncultured fungus. Its description in RNAcentral is "sequence contains ITS2". The stretch from base 1 to 52 matches the Rfam family "5.8S ribosomal RNA", at positions 103 to 154 of the family's 154-position model. Lineage: Eukaryota; Fungi. The record is from RNAcentral.